CUUGACGGCUGUAGCACCGCCCCCAGGUUGUCCGGGUAACGGCAGGCGCGCGUGGUCACGGAAGAGGCUGUUACCCUUAAAGAAUGGCAGAGGCAGUCUUCCGUGCCCCGAAGAGGAAAAGAAGAGUAUAUGAGAGUUAUGAGUCACCACUGCCCAUCCCCUUUGGUAAGGACCAAGGUCCCAGGAAGGAAUUCCGAAUAUUCCGAGCCGAAAUGAUUAGCAACAAUGUGGUAGUCAGGGGCGUGGAGGACAUGGAGCAGCUAUAUGGAAAGGGCUACUUUGGAAAAGGCGUUCUUUCAAGAAGCCGUCCGAACUUCACAAUCUCCAAUCCCAAGCUGGCUGCCAGAUGGAAAGGUGUGCAGACAGACAUGCCUAUAAUCACCUCAGAGAAGUUUCAGCAUCGAGUGGAAUGGGCCACGGAUUUCAUGCGUAGACAGGGCCACGAUGAGAGCACUGUGCAAAAGACCCUCACAGACUACAUAGAGCCACUUGAGUAUCCUUGCAGAAGCGGGAAAGAAGAGGCCCCACGGCAUGACCCACUGAAUUCUGAGGCCAGCUCCUCCCUGGAAGGCAGAGUGGAAAAGGAUGAACUCUUCGUGACCACUGGAGGUGCUGGACAGUCAGAUGACCUCCAGGGUCUUAACACACGCUCAAAAGACUGUCUGCAGGAGCGGUCUGGCCAUGCCACACUCACUGUGGCUAGUCCAUCUAGCCUUAAUGGACAUGUGAUAGAGGACACCACAGUUCUGCCCCAGGUCCCCAGCCACAGGCAGGAAGUCCUCAUUCCUCAGGAUGGCCUGUGGCCUGAAGACAGCAGCCAGGCAGCAGGAGAGAAGCAGGCUGCUCAUGAGUACGUCCUCGUAGAGGAAGAGCUAUGUGAUGUCCAGGAGGAGGAGGCAGCCCCAGAUGAGAAGUUGCUUCAAAGAAAGCGACUGGUGUGCAGAAGAAAUCCAUACAGAAUCUUUGAGUAUCUGCAGCUCAGCCUAGAAGAGGCUUUCUUCCUGGCCUACGCCCUGGGAUGUUUAAGUAUUUACUAUGAGAAGGAGCCUUUAACAAUAGUGAAGCUCUGGCAAGCCUUCACUGCUGUCCAGCCCACCUUCAGGACUACCUACAUGGCCUACCACUACUUCCGAAGCAAAGGCUGGGUACCCAAAGUGGGGCUCAAGUAUGGAACAGAUCUGUACUGGCUGCACCCCAUCAUGUGUCAGAGUCCCAUGAAAAAGGCAGACUGGUAACUGGGUGGAGUGUGUGGUUAUGGAUCUUGUAUAGCCUCUUGACUGAAUUUCUUUCCUAUUUAUUCGUUUAUUUUAGUUUUUAUUUAUAAGUGUGUGCAUGAACUGAGGUUUGCAUGGGCACAUGUGCCAUGGUGUGGACACAAUGUAAGGGCAUUCAUACCAAGCAUUUUUACCUGCUGAGACAUCUUGCCAGCCCAUGCAUGUGAAUGCAUGUGUGAUGCAUGCGUUUGACUGCAGGUGAGCAUGCAUCAGGAGGUCAGAAGAGGAUAUCAGGUGGCUUCUUCUGUCAUUCUUUGCUUUAUUGCCUUGAGACAGAGUUUCUCAGUGAACCAGAACAGAAGCUCACUGUUUUGGCUGGGCUGGCCAGCAAGCCCUUGGGAUCCACCUACCACCCCCUCAUCCCCCUUCUCUUCCCCCACCACACCACAUCCCUGCCCUCUCCACCCCUGCUGCCGGGGUUCCAGGCAUGUGCAACCAUAACCCACCUUUUAUGUGGCUGAGGAUUGAAACUCAGGUCCUUAAACUCAAACAGCAUGUGUUCUUACUGCUCCAUCUCCCGAGGACCUGGAUUUCUACACCUGUGUAGGCUGAGAAGUGACCCUUGACUUCCCUGAAAAUAUCCUGAGGUCUGCUCUUCUCCAGGGCAACACCCGCACAGCACCCAGCAGUGGGGCCCACCCUCUCUGAAUUUGGUUGAUUUGGAACGAAUCACAAAUGCUGUACAUUUUAUGGACUUCAUGUUCUUUCUACCAUGUCACACACAUGGAAAAAGACACACCCACUUGUGGGUAGGAGUAUGGGCUGGGCAGAGUGAGUCACUGGACUCAGUCCCCAACCCCAGAGAAAGCCAGAAAGAAUGGCUUGUGUUUAACUCUGGGGGUGCUUGUGGGGUGGAUGAGGGUGGUUUGGGCAGCAGAUCUGACCAACUUCUUUGUUUCUGGGAGGAGGAGUUUGGAUCUGAAGCCAGGCUGCAGGGCAGAGAGCUGAGUGCCCUCAGGCAGAGAGCUGGGUGUUUGCUUUGCUCUGGCCUAGCUGUGAUGGGUUAACGUCUCCUUUCUCUUCUUUGCAGUGCUGUAUCGGAAAGGCCCUCCAUUUUACCAUGCAAGCUAUUCUGUCAUCGUUGAGC
RNA transcript from Onychomys torridus (southern grasshopper mouse), 2361 nucleotides. It is a transcript of the gene named tRNA splicing endonuclease subunit 2, with no coding region annotated. Lineage: Eukaryota; Metazoa; Chordata; Mammalia; Rodentia; Cricetidae. The record is from RefSeq and is a predicted model, not a curated record. The transcript is spliced from 10 exons.